GAAGGUACAGCUCUGUGGUAGAGUGAGUGUUUAGCAUGCAUGAGGUCCUGGGUUUGACCCCCAGUACCAUUA
This is a transfer RNA of Camelus ferus (Wild Bactrian camel), 72 nucleotides long. It matches the Rfam family "tRNA". Rfam says of the family: Transfer RNA (tRNA) molecules are approximately 80 nucleotides in length. Their secondary structure includes four short double-helical elements and three loops (D, anti-codon, and T loops). Lineage: Eukaryota; Metazoa; Chordata; Mammalia; Artiodactyla; Camelidae. The record is from Rfam.